RNAcentral lists this ribosomal RNA (433 nucleotides) under uncultured bacterium. RNAcentral's name for it is "partial 16S ribosomal RNA". It matches the Rfam family "Bacterial small subunit ribosomal RNA", at positions 29 to 507 of the family's 1533-position model. The record is from RNAcentral.
AACGAACGCUGGCGGCGUGCUUAACACAUGCAAGUCGAACGCACAGUUCAGGGUGUUUGGCAGCCGGGUGUGUAACGCGUGGGGAUAUACCCUUCUGUACGGGAUAGCUCCGGGAAAGGGAAAUUAAUGGCGUAUACGUUCUGAGGGCGAAAGAUUUAUUGGGGCAGGAUGUGCACUAGUUGGAUUCGCUAGUUGGUACGGUAAUGGCCAACCAAGGCGACGAUCCAUAGCUGGUCUAAGAGGAUGAUCAGCCACGUUUGCAGGAAGACACGGCCCAAACUCCUACGGGAGGCAGCAGAGGGGAAUAUUGGACAAUGGGCGCAAGCCUGAUACAGCCAUGCCGCGGAAGUGAUGAAGUCCCUAGGGUUGUAAAGUGCUAUCAGUGGUGACGAUAAUGACGGUACCCACAGAAGAAGCCCCGGCUAACUACGUG